GACGAACGCUGGCGGCGUGCUUAACACAUGCAAGUCGAACGGAAAGGCCCCCUUGUGGGGUACUCGAGUGGCGAACGGGUGAGUAACACGUGAGUAACCUACCCUUGACUUUGGGAUAACUUCAGGAAACUGGGGCUAAUACCGGAUAGGAGCUCCUGCUGCAUGGUGGGGGUUGGAAAGUUUCGGCGGUUGGGGAUGGACUCGCGGCUUAUCAGCUUGUUGGUGGGGUAGUGGCUCACCAAGGCUUUCACGGGUAGCCGGCCUGAGAGGGUGACCGGCCACAUUGGGACUGAGAUACGGCCCAGACUCCUACGGGAGGCAGCAGUGGGGAAUAUUGCACAAUGGGCGGAAGCCUGAUGCAGCAACGCCGCGUGCGGGAUGACGGCCUUCGGGUUGUAAACCGCUUUCGCCUGUGACGAAGCGUGAGUGACGGUAAUGGGUAAAGAAGCACCGGCUAACUACGUG
Molecule: ribosomal RNA, 465 nt
Filed under: uncultured bacterium
Lineage: Bacteria
Description: partial 16S ribosomal RNA
Rfam family: Bacterial small subunit ribosomal RNA
Source: RNAcentral